RNAcentral lists this ribosomal RNA (427 nucleotides) under uncultured bacterium. RNAcentral describes it as "partial 16S ribosomal RNA". It matches the Rfam family "Bacterial small subunit ribosomal RNA", at positions 355 to 774 of the family's 1533-position model. The record is from RNAcentral.
UGGGGAAUAUUGCACAAUGGGCGCAAGCCUGAUGCAGCCAUGCCGCGUGUAUGAAGAAGGCCUUCGGGUUGUAAAGUACUUUCAGCGGGGAGGAAGGCGAUAAGGUUAAUAACCUUGUCGAUUGACGUUACCCGCAGAAGAAGCACCGGCUAACUCCGUGCCAGCAGCCGCGGUAAUACGGAGGGUGCAAGCGUUAAUCGGAAUUACUGGGCGUAAAGCGCACGCAGGCUGUCUGUCAAGUCGGAUGUGAAAUCCCCGGGCUCAACCUGGGAACUGCAUUCGAAACUGGCAGGCUAGAGUCUUGUAGAGUGGGGUAGAAUUCCAGGUGUAGCGGUGAAAUGCGUAGAGAUCUGGAGGAAUACCGGUGGCGAAGGCGGCCCCCUGGACAAAGACUGACGCUCAGGUGCGAAAGCGUGGGGAGCAAACA